CAGCAUCUCUGCUGUAACGUGACAUUUUCUAAGGCUUCCAUUGGCUAUCAGAAGGCGCCAGAAAGUGGAAUGACGUGUCUCCAGUCUCUGGGCGAAAAACAGCAGGAGAUUUUGUGAGUGGUCAGGCUGAGAACAGUGACACUGGAGAUGCGCGUUCAUGUGAAUUCUCCAUGUUUUUCUUUCUCUCUUUGAAUGAAUACAACGUCGCCCGGUUGGAAUAUUAUCGCUAUUUUACAAGAAAAAUCGCAUAAAAAAUGAUUUUAAACAGCGUUUGACAUGCUUCGAAGUACGGUAAUGGAAUAUUUAGACAUUUUUUGUCACGAAAUGCACUCGGAUACUGACCUGAACGCACAAACAGAACGGAGGUAUUUGGAUAAGACUAUGGAUUAUUUCGAACCAAAACAACAUUUGUUGUUGAAGUAGAAUUCCUGGGAGUGCAUUCUGAUGAAGACAGCAAAGCUAGCUAGCGAGAAGACGUGGUAAACAAAGACGUUGACACACAUCAUUCCAAUCAAAGUUACCAGUGAAGAUACGGCAAUUUACCUGUGACCAAUGACCUUGAGCCUUCUUGGAUGGGCACUGCCAAUGUAACUCUACGGCAGCACCCAAGAGGGCCGAAGGUGCCUGACCCUAAGUGGGCUCUCCUA
RNAcentral lists this long non-coding RNA (647 nucleotides) under Salmo salar (Atlantic salmon). RNAcentral describes it as "lncRNA (ENSSSAG00000108741.1, ENSSSAG00075034737.1)". The record is from RNAcentral. Lineage: Eukaryota; Metazoa; Chordata; Actinopteri; Salmoniformes; Salmonidae.